GAUCAAUGAUGGAACCUGUCCCGAAGCUGACUACCUGAAGAAAGGCCUGGU
Molecule: small nucleolar RNA, 51 nt
Organism: Ursus americanus (American black bear)
Lineage: Eukaryota; Metazoa; Chordata; Mammalia; Carnivora; Ursidae
Source: Ensembl